Molecule: ribosomal RNA, 254 nt
Filed under: uncultured bacterium
Lineage: Bacteria
Description: partial 16S ribosomal RNA
Rfam family: Bacterial small subunit ribosomal RNA
Source: RNAcentral
UACGUAGGUGGCAAGCGUUGUCCGGAUUUACUGGGCGUAAAGAGCGCGUAGGCGGCACGGUACGACCGGUGUGAAAGCCCCCGGCUCAACUGGGGAGGGUCACCGGUAACGGCCGAGCUAUGAGUGCAGGAGAGGGAAGUGGAACUCCGGGAGUAGCGGUGAAAUGCGUAGAGACCCGGAGGAACACCAGUGGCGAAGGCGGCUUCCUGGUCUGCAACUGACGCUGUGGCGCGAAAGCUAGGGGAGCAAACGGG